CUCCGGGGGGCGGGGUUAGCGGACGGCCUCGUGGCAGUCUCGAGACUCUGCUGCCCAGCAGGAAGGUGUCAUGUCUGCAGGUUUCCAACCUAAGCCGUUCCAUGAUUCCUGCCUUCUCCACGCCUGUCUGAAGGUCACCCUGUCAGAGAAGCUGAAGAGUCAGGAUUUGACUGAAACACGUCAUUGAAUAUUCUCUGAAUAUUGUCAUCUUUUACCACCCCACCACAUCCCUGAAAAUUGACCUGCUGUUCUGAAAACUUCACAUUUCUUCAGAGUGGGCAUUGUAGCCUGUUUGGAGAAGUCUGCUCGCCUGGAGACAGUAGAUGGAAAAUCUGUCUCUGGAAUAGAGAUCUUCUCUCUUACUGAGGUGAAAACAACUGAACAUAGGAUUGUAUUUUUGCCUCUUCCAAAGUGAACACGUAGAGG
Molecule: long non-coding RNA, 426 nt
Organism: Lagopus leucura (white-tailed ptarmigan)
Lineage: Eukaryota; Metazoa; Chordata; Aves; Galliformes; Phasianidae
Exons: 5
Source: RefSeq, a predicted model, not a curated record